This is an RNA transcript of Scylla paramamosain (green mud crab), 2278 nucleotides long. RefSeq lists it as uncharacterized. The record is from RefSeq and is a predicted model, not a curated record. The transcript is spliced from 7 exons. NCBI's taxonomy places the organism in Eukaryota, Metazoa, Arthropoda, Malacostraca, Decapoda, Portunidae.
AUGGUGGUAUAUACAGGCAUUGUAGGGCGGCCUUCCCUGUCGUUGGGUUGUUCUGAUGUAAUUUUGCAAGUUUUGUUUCUGAAAAGGAGGGUUUGAUUUUUUUUUUUUUUUCUGCAGUGGUCGUAUAUUUAACUUAGUAUCAAGAACUAGCUCACUUCACUGCAGUUUGUCAUCGGGUAAAUUACUAGAUUAGCAGCGCGGCUCUCAUUUCCUAUUUUUUUUUUUUUUUUCGGCUUGUAACCCCUACAAUGUUGGGGACCUGGUGGGAAAGCGGGGUUUUUGGGUAGGGAGCCAAAAUAAGUCUAAAUACCGCCUCUUACCACCAAAAACAAGUAGGGAGCUGCCUGCUGCUAGUGUUAUGAUGACCGCCAUGUUUACUUAUCAUGGUACUUGAAUAUCCACUUGUGUUUAUACUUUACUAUGCUACACUCGUCCAAGGCUAGCAAUUAUUUUCUGCAAUUAGUGUUCAUACCUGUGGCAAUAUUCCCGAUUGUGUUCCAGGAAAUCAUUGUGAGAUGUCGGAAGUUGUACCUAAUUAGCCAUCAAAUGAAUAAUAACCUUAAACUGUUGCACUGCGUUGUCGACAUUUCCAAGAGUUCCCCAGACAGAGGCACCGCCCCGCCAGUCGACAACCUCGGCAUAAUGACGUGUUUUUACUCCCUCAGUGUCCACAUUUCACGAGCUUCAUUUUCGAAUUGUAUCGGUUGAUAUUAAAUAGCGACUUCAUGUUGCACUAAAAGACACUAACAUUUAAAUAAUAAUAACGAUUGAUUCAUUGCGUGUUUUAAGACGAGCGAACUACCAAGAGCCAUCUUACUACCUCUCACCCCAUCACUAGCGCGUUGGAGGGGGAGUUGAUGCCUCUCCCUCCCUCCCUCCCUCCCUCUCUGCUCGAAGACUGUCACGCAGCGGCAAGUAUUCGUUGUGUUGUGAAUAUUGGCGUCAGUGUCACGGGGCGGCGUCGGUGUGGCAGGAAAGCAACACGUGGUGUAGGUGGUAACACGGAGAGCAAGUGGAAGAAACCUUGGGAGACUUCCAUGACUCAGGAACAAUCACACCUCACUGGGAGCCUUGUGACUGAUAGGUGGUUCAGACUGACUGGGAGACAUGACGUCAGUGCCACCACGCAGGGAGUAAAACCAAGAGGAGGAAGAGGAGCAUUCAUGAGACAUCAGCUGGUCAGCAGUCCAUUCAGUUUGUGGCCCUGAUUUGUAAGUGCCAGGAAGACCAUGGUGAAGGCAGCCCACAAACCUUCCGUUGGACAUGAGUGGUGAACGGCAGUGAAAAUAUGGCAGUAUCUGAUUCUUUGCACCAAAACACAGUGUGCUUAUUAACAGAUUUAUUCACUGUUCACUCAUUUGCUCAUCUCUAAAGGAGUGAAGAGUGUGCACUGAAUUUCACAACAGGAAGUGAAGGAUGAAGCAUGAAGGUUUUAGGCCAAAAUGAACAGACAGCAAUCAGGAAUGACACGUCCAGCAAAACCGGCAACACAGCAGUGAGUGUGCGUGCUGACACACACACACACCCAGGCUUCCAAGUUGAUAAUCCAAAAGCCAGCAGAUGACAGCUUCCUUCCAGCACACACUUGUAUCGCCCAACUUGACCUGCCUGAAUACAAGCUGAUACAGUCCAUGCAGCAGGGAGUGCAGCCUCUACAAGUGGUGGAGGGCAUGGACACUUGGAUAUGGAUGACACUGGUUUGGGUGCCAAAUAUUAAUAGUGCACCUACACAAUUACCACACUCGCUCCUCUCACCAGGCUUAACUAUAAUAAUUAAAGGUAAAUAACAUCUGUCAUCUAUUAUCUAUUGUAUUCUAUAUUGCUGUUAAUGUUUCAUGUAUAAUGUCUUUGCUUUCAAAUGCAAGUCAAAAGGGUGAACCCCAUUUAUAGUACUAUUCACGUUUGGCAAAUUUCACUUUUGACAUUGGUUUGGCUACACUAAUUAAACUGCUAACAGUGAGGGACUACUGUAAAUGUAGUAAUAAUAAUAAUAAUAAUAAUAAUAAUAAUAAUAAUAAUAAUAAUAAUAAAAAGUAAUGAUAAAGUGCAAGACAUGUUCAUUAACGCAAUUAUUUUCUCCAACAUGGAGGAGUGAGUGAGGAGGCACAUCUGUCUUUGAUUAGGGAAUGCAAAUGACGAUGUUCCAAGGACGUCACCCUGUCCUGGGCCAUGACAUGAGAGAGAAGAGGAAAAAAGGACUCUCUCUCUCUCUCUCUCUCUCUCUCUCUCUCUCUCUCUCUCUCUCUCUCUCUCUCUCUCUCUCUCUCUCUCUCUCUCU